ACCUACGGGGGGCAGCAGUGGGGAAUAUUGCUCAAUGGGGGGAACCCUGAUGCAGCGACGCCGCGUGAGUGAAGAAGUAUUUCGGUAUGUAAAGCUCUGUCAGCAGGGAAGAAGAAAGACGGUACCUGACCAAGAAGCCCCGGCUAACUACGUGCCAGCAGCCGCGGUAAUACGUAGGAUGCGAGCGUUAUCCGGAUUUAUUGGGUUUAAAGGGUGCGCAGGCGGUCUGUUAAGUCAGCGGUCAAAGCCCGGGGCUCAACCCCGGCCCGCCGUUGAAACUGGCAGUCUCGGUUUGGAGGGAAGUG
This 305-nucleotide ribosomal RNA is filed under the name uncultured bacterium. RNAcentral describes it as "bacterial SSU rRNA". It matches the Rfam family "Bacterial small subunit ribosomal RNA", at positions 337 to 659 of the family's 1533-position model. The record is from RNAcentral.